UACGGAGGAUCCAAGCGUUAUCCGGAUUUAUUGGGUUUAAAGGGUGCGUAGGCGGAUUGAUAAGUUAGAGGUGAAAUGUCCGAGCUCAACUCGGGAACUGCCUCUAAUACUGUUGAUCUAGAGAGUAGAUGCGGUAGACGGAAUGUAUGGUGUAGCGGUGAAAUGCUUAGAGAUCAUACAGAACACCGAUUGCGAAGGCAGCUUACCAAUCUAUAUCUGACGUUGAGGCACGAAAGCGUGGGGAGCAAACAGG
RNAcentral lists this ribosomal RNA (253 nucleotides) under uncultured bacterium. RNAcentral describes it as "partial 16S ribosomal RNA". It matches the Rfam family "Bacterial small subunit ribosomal RNA", at positions 524 to 776 of the family's 1533-position model. The record is from RNAcentral.